Molecule: long non-coding RNA, 1636 nt
Organism: Cyprinus carpio carpio
Lineage: Eukaryota; Metazoa; Chordata; Actinopteri; Cypriniformes; Cyprinidae
Source: Ensembl
UAAAUUCACAUAAGUGCAAUAUAGUAAUUUAAUUUAUACAUUUAAUACAUUUUAAUUCAUACAUUUAUUUAAUUUAACAGUAACUUGAUUAGCAAGUUUAAUAAUAAAUAUAGUAAAUAAUAAAUAUAGUAAAUACGUAUUUAAUACAAUUAACAAUUUAAGUAAUUCAUAAUAUAUUAAAUAUAUUUUUUAAAAUGUAUUUUUGGUGCAUUACAGUAAUGAGAAUUUAUAAUUUCUUUGUUUUUAUUUUGAGGUGAAAUAUGACCCGUUUCAUGAGAUUCACCCUUUAGCUGAUGUGUAGUUUGGGUCAGUUCAACUAGAAAAUAUCUGCAGCACAACUACAAACAAAAAAAAUUCCUUCAGAGUUAAAUAGUAAAAAUCUUCACGCUACUGGCAAAUAAUUGGUAAAUAUUUAUCAAGUAUAAAAUAGAUAUUUUAUAUAAGAUUAACUUUUGUAUUUUUAUACUAAAAAAGGAGAAUGUGUUAACAUUAGAUAGCAUGAGGUACAUGCCUUAUCCAAAUUCAUAUCGUAUGACUUGUUGAAAUGAAGAAUGAAGCCUGGGAUCUAUUAUGUGAAUGGAAUCAGUUUUCUAUGUGUUUCCUCCGGUGGAUUUGAAGUUUGAGAGUGGCUUUCAUUUCAAAGCAUAUAUUUUGUUACGUAACAUUUGACAGCACAUUACACUGUACGUGUGAAGCACUUUGUGUCACUGGGACGUAUUAGUAAUGUAUGAUAAAUAACCAGUUGGCAGUGAAUAAUAAAUUGCUAUCGACUGUUUAGAUCGAUAUUCUCAUUCAUAUUUAAUGGAUGCCUAAGGGUUUGUAAACAACUGCCCCACUGCCAUUGUUUUUCCCAUUUUCUGCGAAGAAAUACAUAUAGCUACAGUAUAUUUAAGACGCUAUAGUUUGGUGGUCGUGUCCAUCAGAUGCCUGAUACAUACCUCAUACAUUUCUUUUUCGUGUCUCAAAAUGACUUCAUUGAAGUAGAACAGACCCAAACUCUGAUGCGACACACGUAUGCUGUGUUAAAACACUGAGAAACAUCCAAAAUAUAUGAACAGAAGAACUGUGUAACUGUAUAUAAACUGUAUGAUCAUGGAUAUGUUCAUUUAGGGUAUUUUUUGUAAGCUUUUUUUUCUACCAAAAGCUUUGAGAGAUCUGAACUGCAUGUAAAUAUCCUCUCAAAGUCUGCAUGCAGAAUCCUCUCUCUGUACGUUCUGUUUACAAGUGUAAGAUAGAUGGAUUUCUGUAUUAAUAAAGAUAAUUUUUUGUUCUAUGUGAGUAGAUGGGUCAGUCAGAUCCUAUUCACUGUUGUCUGAUCUGUAACAAACCAUUCAAGCAUUCUAAACCUCUGAGUUUAACAUGUCCAAAAAAAGAAGAAGAAGAAGAAAAAAAAACAAUUUUCAUAAAAGCAACAUAUAGAAUGCACAGUAUAUUAAACUAUCAAUGACUUCUUGUGAUAAAACAAUAACAGUGUGAAUGCAAUGUCGACCAAUAGAAAUAUAUCUAUAUGGAAAUGUUAUAAUGCAAAAGUUGUUUUAAUGUUGAAAAAACCUUGUCUGGUUGUGUAUGUACAAGAGACUGUUGGUUUUGAAUGUUCUUGUGCUGUUUUUGUGGCUAUUAAAGUGAAUAUCUUCUA